This 253-nucleotide ribosomal RNA is filed under the name Rhodothermales bacterium. Its description in RNAcentral is "partial 16S ribosomal RNA". It matches the Rfam family "Bacterial small subunit ribosomal RNA", at positions 524 to 776 of the family's 1533-position model. Lineage: Bacteria; Pseudomonadati; Rhodothermota; Rhodothermia; Rhodothermales. RNAcentral also lists the same sequence under 1 other name. The record is from RNAcentral.
UACGGAGGGUGCAAGCGUUGUCCGGAAUCACUGGGUGUAAAGGGUGUGUAGGCGGGAUAGCAAGUCAGAGGUGAAAUCCUGCAGCUCAACUGUAGAAUUGCCUCUGAUACUGUUAUUCUUGAGUAUCGGAGAGGUCGCUGGAAUUCGUGGUGUAGCGGUGAAAUGCGUAGAUAUCACGAGGAACACCAGAGGCGUAGGCGGGCGACUGGACGAUUACUGACGCUGAGGCACGAAAGCGUGGGGAGCAAACAGG